UACGGGGGGGGCAAGCGUUGUUCGGAAUUACUGGGCGUAAAGGGCUCGUAGGCGGCCAACUAAGUCAUACGUGAAAUCCCUCGGCUUAACCGGGGAACUGCGUCUGAUACUGGAUGGCUUGAGAUUGGGAGAGGGAUGCGGAAUUCCAGGUGUAGCGGUGAAAUGCGUAGAUAUCUGGAGGAACACGGGUGGCGAAGGCGGCAUCCUGGACCAACACUGACGCUGAGGAGCGAAAGCCAGGGGAGCAAACGGG
RNAcentral lists this ribosomal RNA (253 nucleotides) under uncultured bacterium. RNAcentral describes it as "partial 16S ribosomal RNA". It matches the Rfam family "Bacterial small subunit ribosomal RNA", at positions 524 to 776 of the family's 1533-position model. The record is from RNAcentral.